UCGAGUCGGCGAUUAGUCUCC
RNAcentral lists this non-coding RNA (21 nucleotides) under Arabidopsis thaliana (thale cress). Lineage: Eukaryota; Viridiplantae; Streptophyta; Magnoliopsida; Brassicales; Brassicaceae. The record is from RNAcentral.